This 801-nucleotide ribosomal RNA is filed under the name Triticum aestivum (bread wheat). RNAcentral describes it as "partial small subunit ribosomal RNA". Lineage: Eukaryota; Viridiplantae; Streptophyta; Magnoliopsida; Poales; Poaceae. The record is from RNAcentral.
AUGGGUGUCCAGUGGGGCAUUGGUAAUGGUGAAGAUGUUUGUAUUUUAACGGAUCACUGGAUUCCUUCAACUCCACCGCACCGUCUUCACUCACUUCUGCCUAUACCUGCUACUGCCAAGGUAAAAUGUCUGAUUGAUGAGGAGGCUGGUUCAUGGAAUGAAGAUUCAGUUCGGGAUUUCUUCCGUGAUGACGUGGCUGCAGAAAUUCUACGCAUUCCUAUUAGCGGAAAUGGUGGUAUAGACUUUGCAAGAUGGCCUUUUACCAAGUAUGGCGAAUACACGGUACGAUCUGCAUAUCAUAUGGCGCGGUCGGCUCGUUUUCUUGAUACUCGCAGCAAAAGUGGCUUUGGUCUAUCCUCGAAUAGAGUUGUUGAGGAGAAGAAUUGGAAGGCCAUUUGGUCUGUAAAAGCUCCCAAUAAAAUGAAAGUUGUCCUAUGGCGUUUUGCUCAAGAUUGUCUUCCAUCAGGAGCACAGUUACAACGACGACAUAUCCCUGAUGCUGCGUGUUGCUGUUUCUGUGGUCGUCUGGAGAGUGUGGAGCAUGCAUUUCUAUUCUGUCCGCGUGCAAGGGCCAUAUGGGAUGCGAUCAAGGAAUGCCAGAUAUCCAACUAUGUCGUUCUUCUUUCAGAAAUACUAAGCAGUGGCUAUUUGAAUUCCUUGACAGAUCUUCGGAUAAGGAAAUCACAAUUCUGGCUGUGUCCUUUUGGUAUAUUUGGGAAGCACGUAAUGACGCGCGACACUCACCGGAAAUACCUAAUCCUCGUCAUACAAUGGAGAAAAUCCGUGCUUACACUAAUCUAA